CCUACGGGAGGCAGCAGUGGGGAAUAUUGCACAAUGGGGGAAACCCUGAUGCAGCGACGCCGCGUGAGUGAAGAAGUAAUUCGUUAUGUAAAGCUCUAUCAGCAGGGAAGAAAAUGACGGUACCUGAGUAAGACGCCCCGUCUAAAUACGUGCCAGCAGCCGCGGGAAUACGUAGGUGGCAAGCGUUAUACGGAUUUACUGGGUGUAAAGGGCGUGUAGGCGGGACUGCAAGUCAGAUGUGAAAACCACGGGCUCAACCUGUGGCCUGCAGUUGAAACUGGAGGUCUUGAGUACUGGGGGGGCAGACGGAAUUCCUAGUGUAGCGGUGAAAUGCGUAGAUAUUAUGAGGAACACCAGUGGCGAAGGCGAGCUGCUGGACAGCAACUGACGCUGAGGCGCGAAAGCGUGGGGAGCAAACAGGAUUAGGUACCCUUGUAGUC
RNAcentral lists this ribosomal RNA (440 nucleotides) under uncultured bacterium. RNAcentral describes it as "partial 16S ribosomal RNA". It matches the Rfam family "Bacterial small subunit ribosomal RNA", at positions 338 to 795 of the family's 1533-position model. The record is from RNAcentral.